This 231-nucleotide ribosomal RNA is filed under the name uncultured bacterium. RNAcentral describes it as "partial 16S ribosomal RNA". It matches the Rfam family "Bacterial small subunit ribosomal RNA", at positions 103 to 334 of the family's 1533-position model. The record is from RNAcentral.
CGGGUGAGUAACACGUAUCCAACCUGCCGUCUACUCUUGGACAGCCUUCUGAAAGGAAGAUUAAUACAAGAUGGCAUCAUGAGUCCGCAUGUUCACAUGAUUAAAGGUAUUCCGGUAGACGAUGGGGAUGCGUUCCAUUAGAUAGUAGGCGGGGUAACGGCCCACCUAGUCUUCGAUGGAUAGGGGUUCUGAGAGGAAGGUCCUCCACAUUGGAACUGAGACACGGUCCAA